CCCGCACAAGCGGUGAGCAUGUGGUUUAAUUCGAUGCAACGCGAAGAACCUUACCUGGGCUUGACAUCCCUGGAAUCCCCUGGAAACAGGGGAGUGCCCUUCGGGGAGCCAGGAGACAGGUGCUGCAUGGCUGUCGUCAGCUCGUGUCGUGAGAUGUUGGGUUAAGUCCCGCAACGAGCGCAACCCUUGUCUUUAAUUGCCAUCAUUCAGUUGGGCACUUUAAGAGACUGCCGGUGUUAAACCGGAGGAAGGUGGGGAUGACGUCAAGUCCUCAUGGCCUUUAUGCCCAGGGCUACACACGUGCUACAAUGGGUGGUACAAAGAGAUGCGAGUCGGUGACGGCGAGCUAAUCUCUUAAAGCCAAUCUCAGUUCGGAUUGUAGGCUGCAACUCGCCUACAUGAAGUCGGAAUCGCUAGUAAUCGCGGAUCAGCACGCCGCGGUGAAUACGUUCCCGGGCCUU
RNAcentral lists this ribosomal RNA (461 nucleotides) under uncultured Syntrophus sp. RNAcentral describes it as "bacterial SSU rRNA". It matches the Rfam family "Bacterial small subunit ribosomal RNA", at positions 920 to 1382 of the family's 1533-position model. The record is from RNAcentral. Lineage: Bacteria; Pseudomonadati; Thermodesulfobacteriota; Syntrophia; Syntrophales; Syntrophaceae.